UUUCUUGAUGAGGAACUGCCUGCACCUUUGGGCUCCAAGUUUAGCUCAGCAAUGCCACUGGGUGUGGGGGGCAGCUAUUUAAAUGGCUGGCAGCAGCAGGGCCCCUGUAUACACAGGGGGAGCAGGGCAUGUGGAUGGGCUCCAGAAGCACAGAUCAGAGCUGGGGAAACCUGUCCCAGCCUACAGAACACUGCUCCUGAGCGAGGCCAUUCUCUGCAGGUACCAGCGGGAGAUGCUGUUGGACUCCUGGGAGUUGGGUAAUUCACCCUCCCCCAGUGCCAAAGCCAGGUCAGCCUGAGGAAGUGCUGCUGACAGCACAGCUGGAAAAGAAGGCGUCAGAUCCAUGGAGAGAAGCUGGACCAUAUCUCUGAGAAGCCAGUGCAGUAAAAUUUUUAAGAAAUUUUUGAACACUGGAAGAUAAAACAACUCUAGGCUGACCCUUUUUUGACCUACUUCCUCUAAAGUUCUGCAUGUAUCAGUUCCUGUAGUCUUAUCUGUAGUGAUCUGCUGCACGAUGACAGAAACUGUGCCCUCCCAAAGCCUUCACCCUGUCCUGGCUCGCUCACAAGGCUACACUCCAUGUAACAAUAAGCCAAGCCCCAUCAGUGACUUUCCUCAGAGCGCGGCUCUUCGAGCUGAGCUCCUCAGAAACCUCGAGCAACCAUAGUCCUGCUGCUUCCUGAAAGGAGCGGGGGAGUGCGGAGGCCUGAGCCCUCAGAAGUGCCCAUGAGCAGGUGUCUUAACACGUGGCUGAAACAGUGUCAAGCCACUGAUCACAACCAAAAUGUUUCUCUUUGAUCCCUUCCUGCGAACCACAGUCAUCAGCUUAAUGGCCUCAUCUCACCGACAGGAGUUUCUCAUGCCAUGCUGAAAACUGGAACUGAGUCUUAACACUUAUUGGGAUAACAAGUGGUUAAGGUCAUGGAUUUAAAGCACUUCUCUUGACUAAACCCAAAGCAGUCAUUUAUCAGAGCAUCCCCCGAACUUCACACAUGAACUCCCCUCUCCUUGGGAAGAGUCCUUGAAUUCUACACGGGGUCUGUGCACCAAUAACUGCAGGAGGUGCAAGCAGUGCUCAUUUACAGAACUGCCUCUCUAAGGAAGGAGCCUUUUGUAUACCUCUCCUUGAAGCCACUUUGACCGAACAGGAGUAGCUACAGUGUUCACUGGAACACAGCAGCUCUGGAACACUUUCCAGUGAAGGACAUGAAUCCCAGGUUGUUACCCAAAGUCUGAGAACAGAGGAUGUGUUGAUUGCAAGAAGAUGAGUAAAACCUACCUGUUUUAGUCCUUCAUGUAUGUAUGUCUCACCUGCUGGUGUCACCUCCUCCAGAUCCUUUAGACCUUUCUUGAUUUUUUCCCUGUGAAUGAAAAAAAGGUAAGAGCCUGUUUGUGUGACCUGAAGUAUGAAAAGGGCGUAAUUUAUCAGUUGAAAAAAGGUAUUUGUCCUCAAGGAGAACUGAAAUGAAAAGCUGUAAAUUAGAGCCUUUACCUAGAAUCCCAUGUGGAGGCAGACUGUGUGUUCAUGACAGAAGUGGCGCUGUGGGAACAGGUAUUUCAGACCUAUCUAACAAAAUAUGCUUCAGUGAGUCAAAAAGCUGGGAUCAAGGAAAAUGUCCAGGUGGAGCAGAUAUUGCAAAGAGGUGGCAAAGCCUCAGCAUUACAUAGACCAGUGGAAAUUCUGUUGCAUUAGGUCUAUUUUGCUACUCAACCAACUCUGCUUCCAAUCACAUUGCAGUUAAAGAAGAAAUCCCCUAAAACAGCAGUUCUAUUUCAGCAGAAAUCUUCCAGACCAAUAUGUACAAAUUUAAUCACACAGAACUGAACUUCAAUAAUUAAAACCUUUGCCCUGAAGAAAACAUCAAUAGGCAAAUGCAGCAUUCUCAAGACACCUUUUGUUCGCAUGGGAAAAGAGCAGGAUUGAGGACAGAUUUAAAAUUUGACUGUUACAACCUUUUUGUGUGACCUUUCAUAAGACAUCCCACACAGGUCCACAGCUCACUUAGAUUUAACGGCAGAAUGCAUCUGCUCCAUGAUUUUUCACAAGCAGUACAGCAGAUCCACCUGGAAGAUGCUCUCUAACUAUGGAGCUGAAAUGGUUAAAGUUGAUAGACUGCACCACAGGAAUUAUUUCCAGUGAAAUCAGCACAAGUGGGGGGAACAAAGGCAGGGAGACUACUGAAAGAAUCAAAUCUGGAGAGUCUUCAUUCUUCUGCACACACAGUUUCAGCCAAGUCCAUGGAAAGUCAUGCUAGGAAAGGAUGAGCAAAAACUAAGAAGGGGCAAAAUUUGGGCCAGAAUAUAUAGAACACUGUGACAAAUCUAGGUGAGAAAGAGGAACCCAGCAGGGGUGAGGAGAUGGAGGGAAAAUACAUCGCGGGAUGCGUGAAAGCUUUCCUUAGGCCAGACCAAAUGAGAAAGAAUGCAUAUGCCACACUGCCUGAAUGCCACCCACUCGUCAUUUGUUCCACGGAUGGGCUUCCUCUAUGUUUAGCAGCUCUGUUCCAAAGUACAAUCCGUAGCUGGAAUAAGCUCCCCGUCACAGGAUCCACUGAUACAACCAGGGAGGGGAGGGAGUAGAAGAGAUAUGUGGCAUUGAAUGUAUGGAAGGGAACAAGUUAUGUAAGAUAAUACAAUCUGUUUGAUCCAAAUAUUUUACAUUCAGCAUCUAUAGAAACAACUUGCAAGUGAUUAUGUACGAACGCAGAUUAUAAACCACAGAGUUGGUGCUUGCCAGAAAUGAGUGGCAGCACAUCACAGGCGUUAGUGCUCUGCUGCCAAGAAACAAGCAGCAACUCAAGUCCCAGUUUUCUGAAACAGAUUUUAUUUUGCAAAAAUAGCUUUUGUACAAUCAGUUCGGUUUUAUUUAUCUGCAAUGUCUUGUGACCCGGUCGCACAGCAAUCUCUGGUGCUGCCAGGCCUCUGCCUACAAGGGGUUGCAGAAAAAUCUUUGGUAGAGUGAGCUCUUUUAGCUGUGUUUAAUCAGGCACCAUCUCGUGCCCUGAGGGCACAGCUGCACCAGACAGACCCAGCCAGAUGUCAACUAGCUCCCACCAUUCUCCAAGCUGGUCAAGUGCAAGCGGGUCCUGGUCUGGAUGUCAGAAGGCCAGUGUGGAUGCAGGACAUGGGACCCCAGAACCCACAGGAGGGGGGCUCCAUCACUCUAAAACUCACCCCUGGCUGGUCUGAAGGCCAGGCACGGGGGCUCGUACCUGCCUGCACUGUCCUAGUCCUGAAUGCGACUCAGCAGUCAACCAGUCACAGCACUCAGGACCCCCAUUCCUGCUUCUCAGUGCUCUCACAACUUCCCUUUCUCUGGUUUCUGAAAGGCUGUUUGGUGGUCACGGAAGUCCCCAGGGAAGUUCUGGUUGUAUAAUUCAUCUGUACUGUGACAGCAGAGCCCUCAGCCUGUGUGCCCAGACAUCCCACGGCACAGCUCGGGAACGCUAGCAAAGGCUGAGGGCCACUGCUUUGUGGUGCAAGUCAGAAAAGGGAUGGAGGUGGAAGAGGCAAAACAGAAUCAGCAACUUGCAGCCUGUCUGUGUUUGGGCUGAAUAAGUACAAAUUUAAUAUCUUUUACCCACUCAGCAUAUGUGCUGCAGCCCAUUUCUGUGUUUUAGCACAGGCACAGCUAAUUUUUAAUAGCUACCCCGUCUGUUCUCUCUCUAAGCUGUGUAACUGCCUCAGACAGCUCCUCCAGCAGCAGCCAGGCAAACACCGCUGCUAAUACCCAUGCAGAUUCCAGAAUGGGUGUUCUUAACUCCUCAGAGUGGGGGACAGUAUUCUGUAUGUCUUUUCCAUGUUGUAUUCCACCUAUUGAAGUGCUGGAAUCUUGAAUUAUCUCAAUGUGAUGAGCAUACGAGCACUGGCAGGAGAUGGUGGCUCUCACUGAGCAUGUGUUUCUGGUGAGAAAUGAGGCUGUGUGCUGCAAGGCAACAGGCUCAUCCCUAACAAACGAAGGCAAACAAAACAGGUACUUGGGGUUUGCUGCUAAGAAGGAUGUGCAGUAAACAGGAAAACACACACACGUGUCAGUGAAACCGAGAGGGGAAGUGUUCUUUGACAAAAAGAGGGAUGGCUCCAUCUCUGAUGAGGCAAGCUGUCCUACUGGUGAAAGGAAACCCUGCACAAGCCUCCUCAGAUGCAUCAUUUAGAGGAGGCUUAUGCCUUCUAGGCCUCUUAAAUACUACAGAGGGUUGAUCCACUUAAAAGAAUUACUCUGCUUCAAACCUGAGGCCUCCUGCACGGGCUCCAGAUGAAAACCACAUCAGUGGCCAAGUCUGCUGUACUCGAUACACGCAGCAGAACGCACUCUCUGCAGAUUGAGUCUCUUUUGGCAAGCUGCCCUGGGCCCACGUGCAGGGGCAGCUCACGCGACUGAGGCCCCAAAUGCGUCUAUGUCUCACACAUCCCUGUGAAACCAGGAGCAGUCAGUGCACCACUGGACUAGGGACAAGGACAGGAUGGUUGGUCAUGUAACCAGGUACUCAAGCAUCCUACUUUCCCACCUUCACUAGCACCAUCUCUCUUUAUCUCCAGCAGGAGUUUCACCCAGGCAGAGGCAGCAGGGCUCGUCCUGGCCACUGGCACUGGUCAGUGCUGCCAAAGCAGGCUCACAGAAAUCUGAACUGCUGCUGGCCAGCACAGCUGGCCAAAAGAGAACAAAGGCAACAUCAUGCCAGCUGGAUGGCAUUCCUGCGGGUACCCACUGUCCCAAACCACGUGCUUUCCAACAGUAAGCCCUAAAGGUUCAAAACCCAGAAGGCUGUACAUGGCGGUAGCUUCUGGACAGAAGGGAGAGAGCAGAGGUCAUGUUGGUUUUGAGAAAGCUGAGAGGAUACGGAAGGACUCUGACAGCAGUGCCACUGUCCUCUGCUGAGAGCACUCAAUCCACACGACCAUUUCCCAAUUUCUGGGAGUUCGACAUGAAAAAAUCCUGAAAACCACAGAAUGGUUUGAAUGGUUUUUGCUUUACAAAAGCAAAUGGAAGCAUCAUUCUCACACUGUGCCAAGCGAGAUGCAGAGUCACACAGAGAUGAAAACAUUACUGCUAGUUUUUCUGCAAAGCAGUGGCAGAGGAAUGUACUUUUGAACUACAAACCCAAAACGAGAGGAGUUAAAGCAUUGUUGUGCACCUUCUCCUCACCCAGAUGCUCGGGAACGGAGCAGCAGAACUGUUACUCUCUCCCAAGUGACAGUCUCUGGUGAUGUGGCACCCCCAGGCACGGCAGGGUGACACAAUGUCGAUUUCCAGCCCUGCUUUUUGUUUAUGUUUAUCAAAUCCUCCCAGUCUCAGAAGCAGUGCCUACUGACUGCCCCAGCCCCCAGAAAGCAGCAUGCAGGGUCUUCCAGAGUGACACUGCCUUUGUUCCUCUGGCCAGAGACUUGUGAGACUUGAAAACUUCUUCCCUGAAAGCAUCAUGGGAAAUGUCAUGGUUGCAGUGAAUCAUAUCUACCUAGCAGUGGAAAACAUUUAGGAGUUGCCUGAUACUCUGGAGGCCCAAGACAGGAAUUUUCCCAAGAGCUUACAAAACAACUUCAAAAAGUUUCUGUCGCCCCCUGGACAGAAGUUUUGCAUAAGUUUACAGAAGAUUUGCUUUUGACAAGAUGACAAUAAGCUAUAUUUGCUUAUAAAAGGCUAAUUGGAUCAUCCUGUUCUUAGCAAGCCAAGAUUAUAACUGCACUCUGCACUGGGUUUUCCUCAGCAAAUCCUUCCACAGCAUCUCCCCCUUUGUGUGGUGAGGGAUUCAAUGGGUUUAUUCUGGGUUUUGUGGUAGGGUUUUUUAAAGCAAAGCACUGCAAUCUUCAGUUGUUUGUACAGAGCAGUCAGCCAGGAUUUGCAGCAGCUAUUUCAAGAGGAGCUGGACUUGCCCGACAACACUGCUGACAGUAACAAAGUUGA
Passer domesticus (house sparrow) is the source of this 5902-nucleotide long non-coding RNA. RefSeq lists it as uncharacterized. The transcript is spliced from 15 exons. The record is from RefSeq and is a predicted model, not a curated record. NCBI's taxonomy places the organism in Eukaryota, Metazoa, Chordata, Aves, Passeriformes, Passeridae.